AGUGAACGCUGGCGGUAGGCCUAACACAUGCAAGUCGAACGGCAGCACAGUAAGAGCUUGCUCUUACGGGUGGCGAGUGGCGGACGGGUGAGGAAUACAUCGGAAUCUACUUUUUGUGGGGGAUUACGGUGGGAAAACUUACCCAAUAACCCCAUAGGCCCUCGGGGGAAAAGCAGGGAAUCUCCGAACUUGCGCGGAUGAAUUGGGCGAAGUCGGAUUAGCUAGUUGGGGGGGUAAAGGCCCACCAAGGCGACGAUCCGUAGCUGGUCUGAGAGGAUGAUCAGCCACACUGGAACUGAGACACGGUCCAGACUCCUACGGGAGGCAGCAGUGGGGAAUAUUGGACAAUGGGCGCAAGCCUGAUCCAGCCAUACCGCGUGGGUGAAGAAGGCCUUCGGGUUGUAAAGCCCUUUUGUUGGGAAAGAAAAGCAGCAGGUUAAUACCCCGCUGUUCUGACGGUACCCAAAGAAUAAGCACCGGCUAACUUCGUG
Molecule: ribosomal RNA, 491 nt
Filed under: uncultured bacterium
Lineage: Bacteria
Description: partial 16S ribosomal RNA
Rfam family: Bacterial small subunit ribosomal RNA
Source: RNAcentral